GACGAACGCUGGCGGCGUGCUUAACACAUGCAAGUCGAACGGAAAGGCCCUGCUUUUGUGGGGUGCUCGAGUGGCGAACGGGUGAGUAACACGUGAGUAACCUGCCCUUGACUUUGGGAUAACUUCAGGAAACUGGGGCUAAUACCGGAUAGGAGCUCCUGCUGCAUGGUGGGGGUUGGAAAGUUUCGGCGGUUGGGGAUGGACACGCGGCUUAUCAGCUUGUUGGUGGGGUAGUGGCUUACCAAGGCUUUGACGGGUAGCCGGCCUGAGAGGGUGACCGGCCACAUUGGGACUGGGAUACGGCCCAGACUCCUACGGGAGGCAGUAGUGGGGAAUAUUGCACAACGGGCGGAAGCCGGAUGCAGCAACGCCGCGUGCGGGAUGACGGCCUUCGGGUUGUAAACCGCUUUCGCCUGUGACGAAGCGUGAGUGACGGUAAUGGGUAAAGAAGCACCGGCUAACUACGUG
Molecule: ribosomal RNA, 468 nt
Filed under: uncultured bacterium
Lineage: Bacteria
Description: partial 16S ribosomal RNA
Rfam family: Bacterial small subunit ribosomal RNA
Source: RNAcentral